GGCAGGGUAGCUCAGUUGGUUAGAGCGUGAGACUCAUAAGCUCGAGGUCGCGGGUUCAAUUCCCGCCCCUGCUA
RNAcentral lists this transfer RNA (74 nucleotides) under Candidatus Saccharimonadota bacterium. RNAcentral's name for it is "tRNA-Met". It matches the Rfam family "tRNA". Rfam says of the family: Transfer RNA (tRNA) molecules are approximately 80 nucleotides in length. Lineage: Bacteria; Candidatus Saccharimonadota. The record is from RNAcentral.